RNAcentral lists this long non-coding RNA (279 nucleotides) under Panax ginseng (ginseng). RNAcentral describes it as "long non-coding RNA (PGIN_LNC009063)". Lineage: Eukaryota; Viridiplantae; Streptophyta; Magnoliopsida; Apiales; Araliaceae. The record is from RNAcentral.
GGCUGAGAAGAGGGUGAAGAAGAUAUCGACAGAGGGAGGAAUCCCUAGUUCGUGAGAGAAGGCAAUGAAUGCCAGAAUGUGGAUGUAGGAAUUAGGAACCAACUAGGCAAAACCCACUCCUAUAAACCCUAGGAGGGUAAAGAUGAAGGCAUGGAGGGGUAGACGAAUCCCCUUUUCAAGAAAAGUAACUAGCAUAACGACCCAACCAUCCGGUCGAUGGUAUAUGCGUUCUUCAGGAGCGGGAGCCCUUAUAGCGUACAUAUCCGGAAUCUGAUAGCG